UACGGGGGGGGCAAGCGUUGUUCGGAAUUACUGGGCGUAAAGGGCUCGUAGGCGGCCAGCUAAGUCAUACGUGAAAUCCCUCGGCUUAACCGGGGAACUGCGUCUGAUACUGGAUGGCUUGAGAUUGGGAGAGGGAUGCGGAAUUCCAGGUGUAGCGGUGAAAUGCGUAGAUAUCUGGAGGAACACCGGUGGCGAAGGCGGCAUCCUGGACCAACACUGACGCUGAGGAGCGAAAGCCAGGGGAGCAAACGGG
This 253-nucleotide ribosomal RNA is filed under the name uncultured bacterium. Its description in RNAcentral is "partial 16S ribosomal RNA". It matches the Rfam family "Bacterial small subunit ribosomal RNA", at positions 524 to 776 of the family's 1533-position model. The record is from RNAcentral.